RNAcentral lists this ribosomal RNA (253 nucleotides) under uncultured bacterium. RNAcentral's name for it is "partial 16S ribosomal RNA". It matches the Rfam family "Bacterial small subunit ribosomal RNA", at positions 524 to 776 of the family's 1533-position model. The record is from RNAcentral.
UACGUAGGGUGCGAGCGUUAAUCGGAAUUACUGGGCGUAAAGCGUGCGCAGGCGGUUUUGUAAGUCAGAUGUGAAAGCCCCGGGCUUAACCUGGGAAUGGCAUUUGGGACUGCAAGGCUUGAGUGCGGCAGAGGAGACUGGAAUUUCUGGUGUAGCAGUGAAAUGCGUAGAUAUCAGGAGGAAUACCGAUGGCGAAGGCAGGUCUCUGGGCUGACACUGACGCUCAUGCACGAAAGCGUGGGGAGCAAACAGG